ACGGGAGGCAGCAGUGGGGGAUAUUGCACAAUGGGGGAAACCCUGAUGCAGCGACGCCGCGUGAGCGAAGAAGUAUUUCGGUAUGUAAAGCUCUAUCAGCAGGGAAGAAAAUGACGGUACCUGACUAAGAAGCCCCGGCUAACUACGUGCCAGCAGCCGCGGUAAUACGUAGGGGGCAAGCGUUAUCCGGAUUUACUGGGUGUAAAGGGAGCGUAGACGGUAAAGCAAGUCUGAAGUGAAAUCCCGGGGCUCAACCCCUGAACUGCCUUGGAAACUGUUUAACUAGAGUGUAGGAGAGGUAAGCGGAAUUCCUAGUGUAGCGGUGAAAUGCGUAGAUAUUAGGAGGAACACCAGUGGCGAAGGCGGCUUACUGGACUGUAACUGACGUUGAGGCUCGAAAGCGUGGGGAGCAAACAGGAUUAGAUACCCUGGUA
This 434-nucleotide ribosomal RNA is filed under the name uncultured Lachnospiraceae bacterium. Its description in RNAcentral is "partial 16S ribosomal RNA". It matches the Rfam family "Bacterial small subunit ribosomal RNA", at positions 341 to 792 of the family's 1533-position model. The record is from RNAcentral. Lineage: Bacteria; Bacillati; Bacillota; Clostridia; Lachnospirales; Lachnospiraceae.